AUACGUAGGGUGCAAGCGUUAAUCGGAAUUACUGGGCGUAAAGCGUGCGCAGGCGGUUUUGUAAGACAGUGGUGAAAUCCCCGGGCUCAACCUGGGAACUGCCAUUGUGACUGCAAGGCUGGAGUGCGGCAGAGGGGGAUGGAAUUCCGCGGGGAGCAGUGAAAUGCGUAGAUAUGCGGAGGAACACCGAUGGCGAAGGCAAUCCCCAGGGCCUGCACUGACGCUCAUGCACGAAAGCGUGGGGAGCAAACAGGAUUAGAUACCCUGGUAGUCCACGCCCUAAACGAUGUCAACUGGUUGUUGGGGAUUUAUUUUCUCAGUAACGAAGCUAACGCGUGAAGUUGACCGCCUGGGGAGUACGGCCGCAAGGUUAAAACUCAAAUGAAUUGGCGGGG
RNAcentral lists this ribosomal RNA (395 nucleotides) under uncultured bacterium. RNAcentral's name for it is "partial 16S ribosomal RNA". It matches the Rfam family "Bacterial small subunit ribosomal RNA", at positions 523 to 918 of the family's 1533-position model. The record is from RNAcentral.